AAAAAGCGGAGCCGUAGCGAAAGCGAGUCUGAAUAGGGCGCAUAAGUAACAGGUCGUAGACCCGAAACCAGGUGAUCUACCCAUGUCCAGGAUGAAGGUAAGGUAAUACUUACUGGAGGUCCGAACCCACGCACGUUGAAAAGUGCGGGGAUGAGGUGUGGGUAGCGGAGAAAUUCCAAUCGAACUUGGAGAUAGCUGGUUCUCUCCGAAAUAGCUUUAGGGCUAGCCUCGAGGUAAAGAGUCAUGGAGGUAGAGCACUGUUUGGACUAGGGGCCCUUCUCGGGUUACCGAAUUCAGAUAAACUCCGAAUGCCAUGUACUUAUACUCGGGAGUCAGACUGCGAGUGAUAAGAUCCGUAGUCGAAAGGGAAACAGCCCAGACCACCAGUUAAGGUCCCCAAAUAUAUGUUAAGUGGAAAAGGAUGUGGGGUUGCUUAGACAACCAGGAUGUUGGCUUAGAAGCAGCCACCAUUGAAAGAGUGCGUAAUAGCUCACUGGUCGAGUGACCCCGCGCCGAAAAUGUACCGGGGCUAAACAUAUUACCGAAACUGUGGAUGAACCUCUUUAGAGGUUCGUGGUAGGAGAGCGUUCUAAGGGCGGUGAAGUCAGACCGGAAGGACUGGUGGAGCGCUUAGAAGUGAGAAUGCCGGUAUGAGUAGCGAAAGAAGGGUGAGAAUCCCUUCCACCGAAUAUCUAAGGUUUCCUGAGGAAGGCUCGUCCGCUCAGGGUUAGUCGGGACCUAAGCCGAGGCCGAUAGGCGUAGGCGAUGGACAACAGGUAGAGAUUCCUGUACCAGUGCUAAUUGUUUAACCGAUGGGGUGACACAGAAGGAUAGGGAAUCGCACGAAUGGAAAUGUGCGUCCAAGCAGUGAGUGUGAGAAGUAGGCAAAUCCGCUUCUCGCGAAGCAUGAGCUGUGAUGGGGAAGGAAAUUAAGUACGGAAGUUCCUGAUUUCACGCUGUCAAGAAAAGCCUCUAGGAAGAGUAGUACUGCCCGUACCGCAAACCGACACAGGUAGAUGAGGAGAGAAUCCUAAGGUGAGCGAGAGAACUCUCGUUAAGGAACUCGGCAAAAUGACCCCGUAACUUCGGGAGAAGGGGUGCUCUAUUAGGGUGCAAGCCCGAGAGAGCCGCAGUGAAUAGGCCCAGGCGACUGUUUAGCAAAAACACAGGUCUCUGCAAAACCGUAAGGUGACGUAUAGGGGCUGACGCCUGCCCGGUGCUGGAAGGUUAAGAGGAGUGCUUAGCUUCGGCGAAGGUACGAAUUGAAGCCCCAGUAAACGGCGGCCGUAACUAUAACGGUCCUAAGGUAGCGAAAUUCCUUGUCGGGUAAGUUCCGACCCGCACGAAAGGCGCAACGAUCUGGGCACUGUCUCAACGAGAGACUCGGUGAAAUUAUAGUACCUGUGAAGAUGCAGGUUACCCGCGACAGGACGGAAAGACCCCGUGGAGCUUUACUGCAACCUGAUAUGGAAUGUUUGUACCGCUUGUACAGGAUAGGUAGGAGCCGAAGAGACGUGUGCGCUAGCAUACGAGGAGGCAAUGGUGGGAUACUACCCUGGCUGUAUGACCAUUCUAACCCGCCACGCUUAGCGCGUGGGGAGACAGUGUCAGGUGGGCAGUUUGACUGGGGCGGUCGCCUCCUAAAGAGUAACGGAGGCGCCCAAAGGUUCCCUCAGAAUGGAUGGAAAUCAUUCGCAGAGUGUAAAGGCACAAGGGAGCUUGACUGCGAGACUGACAAGUCGAGCAGGGACGAAAGUCGGGCUUAGUGAUCCGGUGGUUCCGCAUGGAAGGGCCAUCGCUCAACGGAUAAAAGCUACCCCGGGGAUAACAGGCUUAUCUCCCCCAAGAGUCCACAUCGACGGGGAGGUUUGGCACCUCGAUGUCGGCUCGUCGCAUCCUGGGGCUGUAGUCGGUCCCAAGGGUUGGGCUGUUCGCCCAUUAAAGCGGCACGCGAGCUGGGUUCAGAACGUCGUGAGACAGUUCGGUCCCUAUCCGUCGCGGGCGCAGGAAAUUUGAGAGGAGCUGUCCUUAGUACGAGAGGACCGGGAUGGACACACCGCUGGUGUACCAGUUGUUCCGCCAGGAGCAUCGCUGGGUAGCUAUGUGUGGCAGGGAUAAACGCUGAAAGCAUCUAAGCGUGAAGCCCCCCUCAAGAUGAGAUUUCCCAUUUCUUCGGAAAGUAAGAUCCCUGAAAGAUGAUCAGGUAGAUAGGUUUGGAGUGGAAGUGUAGCGAUACAUGGAGCGGACAAAUACUAAUCGAUCGAGGACUUAACCAAAA
This 2278-nucleotide ribosomal RNA is filed under the name Listeria monocytogenes. RNAcentral's name for it is "partial 23S ribosomal RNA". It matches the Rfam family "Bacterial large subunit ribosomal RNA", at positions 655 to 2925 of the family's 2925-position model. The record is from RNAcentral. Lineage: Bacteria; Bacillati; Bacillota; Bacilli; Caryophanales; Listeriaceae.